RNAcentral lists this signal recognition particle RNA (300 nucleotides) under Cavia porcellus (domestic guinea pig). Its description in RNAcentral is "Metazoan signal recognition particle RNA". It matches the Rfam family "Metazoan signal recognition particle RNA". From Rfam's summary of the family: The signal recognition particle (SRP) is a universally conserved ribonucleoprotein. It is involved in the co-translational targeting of proteins to membranes. Lineage: Eukaryota; Metazoa; Chordata; Mammalia; Rodentia; Caviidae. The record is from Rfam by way of RNAcentral.
GCCGGGCGUGGUGGCGCGUGCCUGUAGUCCCAGCUACUCGGAAGGCUGAGGUGGGAGGAUCGCUUGAGUCCAGGAGUUCUGGGCUGCAGUGCGCUAUGCUGAUCGGGUGUCCGCACUAAGUUCGGCAUCAAUAUGGUGACCUCCCGGGAGCGGGGGACCACCAGGUUGCCUAAGGAGGGGUGAACUGGCCCAGGUCGGAAACGGAGCAGGUCAAAACUCCCGUGCUGAUCAGUAGUGGGAUCGCGCCUGUGAAUAGCCACUGCACUCCAGCCUGGGCAAUAUAGUGAGACCCUGUCUCUU